This 1098-nucleotide ribosomal RNA is filed under the name uncultured candidate division WS6 bacterium. RNAcentral describes it as "bacterial SSU rRNA". It matches the Rfam family "Bacterial small subunit ribosomal RNA", at positions 66 to 1191 of the family's 1533-position model. The record is from RNAcentral.
AUGCCGAUUUAUCGGCAUGGCAGACGGCUGAGUAAUACAUGGGAAUCUACCUCAAACUCGAGAAUAGCCCAUCGAAAGGUGGUGUAAUACUCGAUAGUUCCGUUUACGGUAAAGCUCCGGCGGUUUGAGAUGAGCCCAUGUCCUAUCAGGUUGUUGGUGGGGUAAUUGCCUACCAAGCCUAUGACGGGUAGCUGGUUUGAGAGGAUGAUCAGCCAGACUGGGACUGCGAUACGGCCCAGACUCCUACGGGAGGCAGCAACUAGGAAUCAUGCGCAAUGGACGAAAGUCUGACGCUGCGACGUCGCGUGAGGGAUGAAGGUCUUCGGAUCGUAAACCUCUUUUUAUCUGGGAACAAGUUCUGAGUGUACCAGAUGAAUAAGUGCCUGCCAACCACGUGCCAGAAGCAUCGGUAAUGCGUGGGGCACGAGCGUUAUCCGGAUUUACUGGGCGUAAAGAGAUGCGUAGGCGCCUUUUUUAAGUCACUUGUAAAAUCUCCCCGCUCAACGGGGAAACUGCAAGUGAUACUGAUUUGGUUGAGUCAAGUAGGGAGAGGGAAUUUCUGGUGGAGCGGUUAAAUGCGUUGAUUCCAGGAGGAAUACCAAGUGCGAAGCCACCUCUCUGGACUUGUACGGACGCUAAGGCUCGAAAGUUGGGGAGCAAAACGGAUUAGAUACCCGUGUAGUCCACACUGUAAACGAUCCCUGCUAGAUGUUUGCUUUGUUUUGUAGUUCUACGGCUUGCCGUAGGGUCCACAAACUGAGUGAGUGUCGCAGCUAACGCGUUAAGCAGGGCGCCUGGGGAGUACGGCCGCAAGGCUAAAACUCAAAGGAAUUGACGGGGACCCGCACAAGCAGUGGAGCGCCUGGUUUAAUUCGAUGGUCAGCGAAGAACCUCACCUGGGCUUGAACUGUAGCUGCACACCUUGGGAAACCAGGGGAGCCUUCGAGGGUGCUACAGAGGUGAUGCAUGGCUGUCGUCAGCUCGUGUCGUGAGAUGUAGGGUUAAGUCCCGUAACGAGCGCAACUCUUAUCUGAUGUUAUAAUUUCUUCAGAGACUGCCCCGUUAUAGCGCGGAGGAAGGAGGGGAAGACGUCCAGUC